GAGUACCUGGCACAGGAUAGAGGCACAAACUCAGGGCAUUUCCCAUCUCUCUCCCGUGAGCAGAUCGCCAGGGCUGUGGCAGAGCUGCCAGAGGUGUAAGGGAGGUCCCAGCUCAGCUCCAUCCUGAGAACUGCCAGCCAGGGGCCAGCUGAUUCAGCGAUGAUCCCGUGCACCCGGGAGACAACAGGCAGUUCGGCCUCAGUCUCCACAUCCAUAAAAAUGGGAGGAUGGCAGCUCCUAUCCAUGGCGAGGACCCAGAGAGGCUGGCUGACAAGCAUUCUUGACCACAUUUUACAGACGAGGAAACCAAGGCCUGGAGGUUAAAGGGACCUGCCCAUGGAUGCACGGGGAGUUUGGGGGCAGAGAUGGGACUAGAACUCAUAUCUCCUGCCCCUCAGCCUGGUGAUGAUACCACUCUGUGGAAGAAGAGACACCCCUGCCCUCCCCUCGAGCCCAGAUG
Molecule: long non-coding RNA, 460 nt
Filed under: Equus asinus (donkey)
Lineage: Eukaryota; Metazoa; Chordata; Mammalia; Perissodactyla; Equidae
Description: lncRNA (ENSEASG00005024493.1)
Source: RNAcentral